CGGUUCGAGUCCGCUUACCUCCAUUGGCCGACCGCUUGAACCUAUUUAGUUUGAUGGUCUUUGUGAGAUGUGAUUUGGAUUAAUCCGCUGAUGGAACCUAGCUUCCUCUCAUUCCAUGCCUUAUUAGGCAAGGUUGAUAGGACGCUGGGCCCACUCCAAUCCUUAAGGAAAGGAGAGAUGUUCAGUA
This 187-nucleotide unclassified non-coding RNA is filed under the name uncultured cyanobacterium. RNAcentral's name for it is "partial 16S-23S ribosomal RNA intergenic spacer". The record is from RNAcentral. Lineage: Bacteria; Bacillati; Cyanobacteriota.